RNAcentral lists this ribosomal RNA (425 nucleotides) under uncultured Acidobacterium sp. RNAcentral describes it as "bacterial SSU rRNA". It matches the Rfam family "Bacterial small subunit ribosomal RNA", at positions 958 to 1385 of the family's 1533-position model. The record is from RNAcentral. Lineage: Bacteria; Pseudomonadati; Acidobacteriota; Terriglobia; Terriglobales; Acidobacteriaceae.
AACGCGAAGAACCUUACCUGGGCUCGAAAUGUAGUGGACCGGGGUGGAAACAUCCCUUCCCGCAAGGGCUGCUAUAUAGGUGCUGCAUGGCUGUCGUCAGCUCGUGUCGUGAGAUGUUGGGUUAAGUCCCGCAACGAGCGCAACCCUUAUUGUCAGUUGCCAUCAUUAAGUUGGGCACUCUGGCGAAACCGCCUCGGAUAACGGGGAGGAAGGUGGGGAUGACGUCAAGUCCUCAUGGCCUUUAUGUCCAGGGCUACACACGUGCUACAAUGGUCGGUACAAACCGUCGCAAACCCGCGAGGGGGAGCUAAUCGGAAAAAGCCGGCCUCAGUUCGGAUUGGAGUCUGCAACUCGACUCCAUGAAGCUGGAAUCGCUAGUAAUCGCGGAUCAGAACGCCGCGGUGAAUACGUUCCCGGGCCUUGUA